Pteronotus mesoamericanus is the source of this 408-nucleotide long non-coding RNA. RefSeq lists it as uncharacterized. The transcript has 3 exons. The record is from RefSeq and is a predicted model, not a curated record. NCBI's taxonomy places the organism in Eukaryota, Metazoa, Chordata, Mammalia, Chiroptera, Mormoopidae.
CGUUGUACGUCACCCCCGUGGGCGCCUGGGAAACAUCCGGUGAGCGUCUCUAUUAUGACGGGCUCUAAGUGAGUGCGGCGGCAGGCUUGGAUCUGGUCACUGCUGCUGCAGGUGCUCUUUGAGGAUGUGACGCAGGGGCCAUUGGCCCCCGAUGGGAGAGCAGAUGAGGCGGAGAUAACCAGCUCAAGGCUGAGAAAGAAAUUUAUAAAACUCCUGGACCCUGACCCAAAUCCCACCUGGCGCCAUAUUUGCUCAACUUGGACCUGAAGCAGUUCGAUGUGUUCCUGCCAUUGUCAUCUUUAAAGAACAUCUGUUCUCUACAGUCGGUGUCUGGAACGACUCGUUAUUUCAUCUGCGGUGAAUCAUAGGACUCUGCAGGACCGAGUGCCCCACAAGCUCCUACUGAAC